CCUACGGGGGGCAGCAGUGGGGAAUAUUGCACAAUGGGGGAAACCCUGAUGCAGCGACGCCGCGUGAGUGAAGAAGCGUUUCGGCGCGUAAAGCUCUGUCAGCGGGGAAGAAACACGGUUCGCGAGAGCCGCGGACGGUACCCGACCAAGAAGCCCCGGCUAACUACGUGCCAGCAGCCGCGGUAAUACGUAGGGGGCAAGCGUUAUCCGGAUUCACUGGGUGUAAAGGGAGCGUAGACGGCGAGACAAGUCUGGAGUGAAAGGCCGGGGCCCAACCCCGGGACUGCUCUGGAAACUGCCUGGCUGGAGUACAGGAGAGGUAAGUGGAAUUCCUAGUGUAGCGGUGAAAUGCGUAGAUAUUAGGAGGAACACCAGUGGCGAAGGCGGCUUACUGGACUGUAACUGACGUUGAGGCUCGAAAGCGUGGGGAGC
Molecule: ribosomal RNA, 432 nt
Filed under: uncultured bacterium
Lineage: Bacteria
Description: bacterial SSU rRNA
Rfam family: Bacterial small subunit ribosomal RNA
Source: RNAcentral